RNAcentral lists this ribosomal RNA (301 nucleotides) under uncultured bacterium. RNAcentral's name for it is "partial 16S ribosomal RNA". It matches the Rfam family "Bacterial small subunit ribosomal RNA", at positions 509 to 807 of the family's 1533-position model. The record is from RNAcentral.
CAGCCGCCGCGGGAAUACGUAGGUGGCAAGCGUUGUCCGGAAUUGUUGGGCGUAAAGGGCUCGCAGGCGGUUUCCUAAGUCUGAUGUGAAAGCCCCCGGCUCAACCGGGGAGGGUCAUUGGAAACUGGGAAACUUGAGUGCAGAAGAGGAGAGUGGAAUUCCACGUGUAGCGGUGAAAUGCGUAGAGAUGUGGUGGAACACCAGUGGCGAAGGCGACUCUCUGGUCUGUAACUGACGCUGAGGAGCGAAAGCGUGGGGAGCGAACAGAAUUAGAUACCCCCGUAGUCCCUGUCUCUUAUAC